AUGUCUUCCUCCGGAUCCUCCCAGAUCGGCCUCAACAACCAGGUCACGAAGAAGCUCACCCGUAUGAACUACGUACCAUGGCGCGUCCAGAUCACGCCGCAGCUAAGGGGAGCUGGCGUCUUCGGCUAUGCCGACGGCAGUACGUCGGAGCCAGCCAGCUUCCUUCCUGGCAAGGACAAGGACGGCAAGGACUCCACCGAGCCCAACCCUCUCCACCCAAUCUGGGUCCGGUAGGAUCAACAAGUGCUCGGGUACCUGCUCAACAAUCUCUCCAAAGAGGUGUUGGUGCAGGUGACCGCGAUCACCACAACGCACGCGCUGUGGACAACCCUGGCGGCCAUGUUCUCCUCGCAGUCGCUCAGCCGCAUCAACAACAUCCGCACGGCUCUCCUUCAUGCGCAGAAGGGAACUCAGCCGGUCGCCACCUUCUUCGCCCGCAUGCGCGGCCUCGCUGAUGAACUCGCCGCGGCCGACAAACCACUGCAAGAUGACGAGAUCGUCUCCUACAUCAUCCACGCGCUGGACAUGGAGUACCAGCCUCUGGUGUCGGCUCUCGAUGCUCGCACCUCCCCUGUCACCCUGGAUGAGUUGUUCACCAUGCUCAGCAACUUCGAUCAGCGCAUGGCACUCUACCAGGGUUUGGGUGGCUUCAAAUCGUCCGCUAACGCCGCUGUAGGAGAUAUGCCCUAG
RNAcentral lists this ribosomal RNA (690 nucleotides) under Triticum aestivum (bread wheat). Its description in RNAcentral is "partial small subunit ribosomal RNA". The record is from RNAcentral. Lineage: Eukaryota; Viridiplantae; Streptophyta; Magnoliopsida; Poales; Poaceae.